GAUGAACGCUGGCGGCGUGCCUAAUACAUGCAAGUCGAGCGAACAGACGCGGAGCUUUCUCCUCUGACGUUAGCGGCGGACGGGUGAGUAACAAGUUGAUAACCUACCUAUAAGACUUGGAUAACUUCGGGAAACCGGAGCUAAUACCGGAUAAUAUAUUUAACCGCAUGGUUCAAUAGUUAAAGACGGUUUUGCUGUCACUUAUAGAUUGAUCCGCGCCGCAUUGGCUAGUUGGUAAGGUAACGGCUUACCAAGGCGACGAUGCGUAGCCGACCUGUAAGGGGCAUCGGCCAGAGUGCAACCGCGACACGACCCAGACACCGACGGGAGGCAGAAGUAGGGAAGCUUCCGCGAUGAGCGAAAGCCUGACGGAGGACCGCCGCGUGAGUGAUGAAGGUCUGCUGAUCGUAAAACUCUGUUAUUAGUGAAGAACAAACGUGUAAGUAACUAUGCACGUCUUGACGGUACCUAAACAGAAAGCCACGGCUAACUACGUG
This 497-nucleotide ribosomal RNA is filed under the name uncultured bacterium. Its description in RNAcentral is "partial 16S ribosomal RNA". It matches the Rfam family "Bacterial small subunit ribosomal RNA", at positions 28 to 507 of the family's 1533-position model. The record is from RNAcentral.